Molecule: ribosomal RNA, 543 nt
Filed under: uncultured bacterium
Lineage: Bacteria
Description: partial 16S ribosomal RNA
Rfam family: Bacterial small subunit ribosomal RNA
Source: RNAcentral
UGGGGAAUUUUGGACAAUGGGCGAAAGCCUGAUCCAGCAAUGCCGCGUGUGUGAAGAAGGCCUUCGGGUUGUAAAGCACUUUUGUCCGGAAAGAAAUCCUUGGCUCUAAUACAGUCGGGGGAUGACGGUACCGGAAGAAUAAGCACCGGCUAACUACGUGCCAGCAGCCGCGGUAAUACGUAGGGUGCAAGCGUUAAUCGGAAUUACUGGGCGUAAAGCGUGCGCAGGCGGUUUGCUAAGACCGAUGUGAAAUCCCCGGGCUCAACCUGGGAACUGCAUUGGUGACUGGCAGGCUAGAGUAUGGCAGAGGGGGGUAGAAUUCCACGUGUAGCAGUGAAAAUGCGUAGAGAUGUGGAGGAAUACCGAUGGCGAAAGGCAGCCCCCUGGGCCAAAUACUGACGCUCAUGCACGAAAGCGUGGGGAGCAAACAGGAUUAGAUACCCUGGUAGUCCACGCCCUAAACGAUGUCAACUAGUUGUUGGGGAUUCAUUUCCUUAGUAACGUAGCUAACGCGUGAAGUUGACCGCCUGGGGAGUACGGUCG